Long non-coding RNA from Amphiprion ocellaris (clown anemonefish), 4213 nucleotides. RefSeq lists it as uncharacterized. Lineage: Eukaryota; Metazoa; Chordata; Actinopteri; Pomacentridae. The transcript has 3 exons. The record is from RefSeq and is a predicted model, not a curated record.
CUGAACAUAUAGCAAGGGGGAUCUGGGUGCAUUGUUAUGCUGUGGAGGACACUUUUCUGGCUUGGUUAAGAGAAACUCGUCCCUCUAGAGGGAAAGGUGACUGCAAAUCAAUACAAAGUUGACCUGAGUGAUCACUUUCAUCCUGUGAUUAAUAUUUCUAUCUUGAUGAGAUGGCUCUCCUCCAGGAUGACGGUGCCUCCAUCCAAAGGGCACGAGGGCCCUCUACAGACCUUCAGUAAGCCUGCACCCGCUAAACAGAUCUUCAGCCUGUAAUCAAAUUCUGCUCCAUCAGCUCUGCAUUAAUGGAGAAAGAGAAGGAGAAACCGGACAAAGUGACAGAAAAGAAGUCUGUAUGGCAACAGUCUGUAAUACAGCCCACAAUUCUGAAUCAGAACAAAGAACUACAGACUCUUCACAACCUGCUCAAACUCUUGGUACAGGACCUCACCACACGGGUCAAGAAGGUUUCUGUCUCAUUUCUACUCUGAAGCUCACCUUCUCCUGCUCAAACUGCUGACAGAUGUUUCUGCUGCUCUAAAGUCUGGUCUCCAGAACUUCCUAAAAACUCUCAAAGGCUCUUCUGCUGCAGGUUGCUUUGUAGAACUGUUCCAGAAAACCUCACUAAACCACAUGGAGGGGCCUCAAGAUAGUCGUCCAAAUGAAACCAUACAAAAACCAAACUAGCACAACCCAAACGCUAAAGUCUCCUGCAGCCUACCAGAGAACCUCUGAGAACAGAGAAUCAGGACAGGAACUCUUACCUUCUGGACAACCAACGUUGGUUCACAAACCAAAAUACAGAAUGUGUCUGACCAAAAACCUCUGAAGACUCACUACAGCCAAGAUAAAGACACAACUCAGCUGCAGCAAAUCCACUAAUAACUGCACACAUUAGCACCAUGUGCUACCUGUGGCUAAAGAACCUCAUUUACCAAGACAACUAUCCAGUACAAAGCCCUAAAACACACCAAGAAACACAUUAAAGACGAUUUUACUGCUGGAAGCUGCAAACCAACGCCUAAAUAACAAACUAAAGCAACGAAGCCAAACCAGGUUCAGUGGUGAAGAGAAGCAGAGGAAAUGUUUGACUGCAGCUAAAUAAAGCAGGAAGACACUGAGCUGCUCAGGUGUUCCUGAUAACACCAAGCUGCUCAGGUGUUCCUGAUAACACCAAGCAGCCACCUGGACAGCCAAUAGGAACACAGCUUCCUGGAAGUCCAGAGGGCGGGGUUAGUGAAGGAAAUUUAGUUUAAAGUUGAAGCAGAAAGUUAACAAAGAAAGUUGAAAACCACCUUCUGAUACCUGAAAUCUCUGAGUUUUCACACAAAGAACACCUGAACAUGUCAAACUGGUUCCAUAGUAGAACCAUCAUUGUAAAAACGUCAUAGUAUGGUGUGUUGCUCAAAAAACAUUAGGACCCGGCUGUCAGGGGACAAACAUGUAAGAAACAUGAGAACAGAGAGAACCCAACCAGCAGGUCACAGUUUAUCAUCCCCCAGUCAUCUCCUGAAGUCCAUAUGGUGAGAGACAUCAGUAUCUGGUUGUUAAUUUACCAGAGGAUGCUUAUAAUCAUGCUGCUGUGGUCUGUACUCUACAGUAUUUUAGUGACUCAAUAAAUGCCUAAGUUGUUUUUUUUUUUAAUGCUUUUUAGUUUUUAAUAAACAUUUAACAGCCUAUAUGUAAUCAAUAAAUGGCCUUUGCCUAUCUUAAGAAAAAUUCACUCAGAACUCUGAUAUGUUAACAGUACUAAAUAAAUCAAUAAAUACAUGCAUACACACAAAAAUAAGUCAAUACAUUAACUGUGUUAAGAUAAGAUUUAGAUUUUUAAAAAAAGUUGUUUAUGUUUUUGCAGAAUCCAGUGUUGCUCACUGGUUGGUCAUUUCAUUUUGUUAGUUUGAUUUCACUGUUUAAAAUGAUGCCACCUCUUUUCAGACAGAACCUGUGAUAAUAAAACAAUACAACAUUUUUAGUUCCGUGUUAAUAAAGCACUUAAAGCUUUAAGUAUGGCUAAAUGCUUUUUUCAAAAUUAAAUAUAUCACUCCUUAGGUGGUAGUGGCCCCAAGUUCGGUAAAGUUGGAAAGAUAUUCACAGAUUCACACUUCCAGCAUCAAUAACUCAUUAGAUAUAGGUUGUCAAAACAUAAACGGUGCCUCUUUCCCAUUGUUGUAAGGUAGACAAUGUGCUACAAGCCCAGUUUUAUCAAAAGUAGCUGUCUUUCAAGCUACAGGAAUAACAUUGGUGUCUAUGGAGUGAACAGGGUCCUUCUGCAAUUUGCAAAACCACUGCAACAGUAAAGAGAGACAAAUAUUCAAUAACUUCACUCUUAUACAUUGUAGUGUCACUAAAAUCACUGCAGCCUUCAACUGGCUCCUGUUGACAAAGUGUUUUAACAGAAAUGUAAAUGCUGUAAUUUGAUUCUUUUAAUGAACCAUGUAACUUGAAUGGAUGUGAUGCUGGUGUGACCACAGUGCACACGUCUGAUGUUGCUCACAGUGGUCCAAGGGACGCUCAGGGAGUUUGUGUGUUUGCUCACACUCAGGAAAAAUUACAGGGAACAUUGCCUCAGAGGUGUGCUGCUGUCAUCAGGGCCAGAGGUAGUUCAGUUAAGUUUGCUCCUGCAUGGUGAUGUUUACACUGUAAAAUGAAAAGACUUGAAGGUUUCCAGUAAUAUUUCAGCCACAAACGUUAUGUUUACCAACAGUGUUGUAGCUUUGCCUUAAAUAUUAACUGAUGUAGAGCCAAGAGGUGACUCCAAGAUGCUCUUGGCCCCUUUAUGCUACAGUCUUGGCAAACUUCUGGCCACCUCAGACAACCACUAGUGAAGCCUGUUAGAGGGGUUUGGCCAUACUCAUAGAACUGGAAUAAGUGUAAGUGAAAAGAGCAUAACUUUGACUGUUUCAAAUCUUUUGAAAUUAAAAAGCUUGGCAUAUAUGAGUUCUCAAGGUGUAUUUCUAAACGUCAUACCUGCAUAAGUGAACAAUAAAAAUAUCCAAAAAAUUUGACUGUUUGGCCUCCAGACAUUUGAGAUAUUAGUUUCUAUCAGUUUCAGCCUGGCCACCCCUAUAAAAAGUCUGUGUUGCUGACUAUUAAUAAAUAUCUUUUGUUUGUUUCUAUUUGUUAAACUUGUCAUUAAAAUAAUGUACCAGCAUCAAAAAAUCCCUUGAUGAUGAAAUUUCUUUGAAUUCCAUUGCACAUCAGUGAGGCAACACUAAAUGAUAGAAACACAGUUAAAACAUUUACAAAAAAACCCCCACAGCGACACAGCACCUCAAACUGUAUCCUUUAAAAUGAUCGUACAGUCUUAUCAACACAUUUUGAAAACAGUUUCAACAAAAACUGUAAAUAACAACAUUCACUAAAACAAGAAACAUUUACUUUAACAAGCUCAACUGUGAAAUUUCAGAUUUCAAAGAACUGCAUGAGCUCAAGAUGUAAUUACUCCAAGGUGAAUGAACAGAGCCCAUUUUACUACCCAGUGUGUAUUAAAAUGCCACAACCUGAGGAACAGUAACCUAAACUCACACAUGCAUGUGGUAUAUAUGUACAUUUAUAAUGAAUUUUUUUAAAAAUUUAAAGUUGUUGAUAAUGUUCAAGUCAGUGCUGUUGUGAACUGUCCAAAUAAUAAAGUGUUUUUACAACUUGGCAACAUUUUUUUUUGAAACUAUGACAGGUGAGUUGCAUUAUAGUGUCACCACUAGAGGGCAUUUACACCAGAUUUUGUAGGAAGACUAAAGCUUAUUUUUUUAAAAAAACAUAAAGACACUCAAAUCUUCUUGACAGAUCUCUGUGCUUCUUUAGCGAUGCUAAUUUCAUCAUACUUCCAGUUACACAUUCUGUAUUUGCAUAUGCUGAUCUGCUGCUUUGCUGUUGAGUAUCAGCAGUAAGAAGAAGGACAGAGGAGAUGACAGCAUCACCUGCUGGCGCAUAACAAAAUAAAAGCAGUUCCUCACUGCUCACAGCCUUCUUAGAUUUUACGUUUCAUGAAUGCUUACUGCAGCCAUCCUGCCCUGCCUUUUACCAUGAUCUAUACUGGAGUGCAUUUCUUGCCUGAGCAUAAUGACAGACACUGCGACUAGAAAAUGACGUAGACAAACAGAAACCUGGUAAAAGCCUUUCAGCAGAACGUCAUGCACAUUACAUGUAUAUUUCCUGACAGUGUACGAAUUGAUUUGAAGUGAAUUUGUUUCUGACACCUUUGUGAAGGAGGGGAGCU